Molecule: non-coding RNA, 125 nt
Organism: Triticum urartu
Lineage: Eukaryota; Viridiplantae; Streptophyta; Magnoliopsida; Poales; Poaceae
Source: Rfam
UUGGUACUCCCUUUGUCCGGAAAUACUUGUCAAAGAAAUAGAUAUAUCUAGAUUUAUUUUAGUUCUAGAUGCAUUCACUUUUAUCCAUUUAUGCGACAAAUAAUUUCGGACGAAGGGAGUAUAAU